Molecule: ribosomal RNA, 491 nt
Filed under: uncultured bacterium
Lineage: Bacteria
Description: partial 16S ribosomal RNA
Rfam family: Bacterial small subunit ribosomal RNA
Source: RNAcentral
AGUGAACGCUGGCGGUAGGCCUAACACAUGCAAGUCGAACGGCAGCACAGUAAGAGCUUGCUCUUACGGGUGGCGAGUGGCGGACGGGUGAGGAAUACAUCGGAAUCUACUUUUUCGUGGGGGAUAACGUAGGGAAACUUACGCUAAUACCGCAUACGACCUACGGGUGAAAGCAGGGGAUCUUCGGACCUUGCGCGAUUGAAUGAGCCGAUGUCGGAUUAGCUAGUUGGCGGGGUAAAGGCCCACCAAGGCGACGAUCCGUAGCUGGUCUGAGAGGAUGUAGAGCAAGCCUGGAGCUAAGACGCGGUCCAGACUCUAACGGGAGGCAGCAGUGGGGAAUAUUAGUCAAUGGGCGCAAGCCUAAUCCAGCCAUACCGCGUGGGUGAAGAAGGACUUCGGGUUGUAAAGCCCUUUUGUUGGGAAAGAAAUGCAGCAGGUUAAUACCCCGCUGUUCUGACGGUACCCAUAGAAUAAGCACGGGCUAACUUCGU